Molecule: long non-coding RNA, 674 nt
Filed under: Bos taurus (domestic cattle)
Lineage: Eukaryota; Metazoa; Chordata; Mammalia; Artiodactyla; Bovidae
Description: long non-coding RNA NONBTAT012668
Source: RNAcentral
GGACACCGUGAGCGCCGCACCGACUCCUGACCGCCAUCCAGCCCCUUCAUUUCCCCUCUCCUGCAGGGCUGGGGCUUGACCUUGCGUGAACACCAAUCAAAGCUGAACUGGGGUCAACCGCAGGAAACCUGCCAGUGAUCUUUAAUUCAGAUGUGCUGUGGGAGUUUCAGGCGAUGUACCUGGAGGUUUGCAGUCGCUGUCAGAGUGGCCCACUGCUCAUUCCUGUGUCGCUGAGGAAAAUACAAGCCGACGGCAGAACAGACCUGUUUGCCCCAAGCAGAGGCUCCUGAAAUGAAGGCGAGAUGUUGUCAUUCUGAGGGCAGACGCUCAGGGGGUUGGUUUUCACGCAUACACUCAAAAGUCUUCAUUCCAGAAAUACAUUUUAUGUCUUUGAAUUUCAAAUACAUAUUUGGUUUCCUGACCCUAUGCUGGAAACUAGAGACACAAAAGCAAGUAACAGUGACCUCUGCACUCUGACCUCAGGGACCAAUCGCCUUUAUCGCAUCUGCUGAUUGGACCCAGUGAAGGCUCUCCCCUAUCAUAGAGCAAUUAUCAAAUAUUUGUUCAGCCUGAGUUAAGUCUUUUAAACAAUAUCAAGAAACAAAUUUAUAUUGAUUUAAACUUGAAACGUCUAAGCUGUCUUCAUGAAAAAUAUAUGGCAUUCCUAUAUUCUC